UGAGUUCCUUGCCCUGACUUCCCUCAGUGACAGAGUGUGCACUAAGGGAUUAAGACCACUGCCUAACCUGGGAGAGGUUACCGAAGCACUCAGCAAUCCUAUCCACAUUCGUUUACUGGGCUGAUGGAUGGGGACCCACAAGGCAGGAGGCCAACCGGGCAGCUGGACCUCCUCCGGCCUCGUUCUAUCCUGUACCCGCCCUCACCUGUAUGACAUCCUACAGGACUGUGCAGAAAGACCAGAACACAGACCAGGAUCCUCUUCAGGUGUACUGGGUACACCCAGCCUCCUCUCCACCACCAAAGAAGGUGUAGGGGACGGUCUCCUAAUGACCCAGCCCAUCUUCCAUUGAUCAUCCUGGUUCACACGAUUCCCAAUCCCAAAGUACCACCCAGGUCAAGCUGGUUAGGAGAAUAGCUAGUUUAGCUAAAGAGGUAGGUGUGGCAAGCCUUUGGGCCUGGAAGAAGCCAGUGACAAUAUGUAAAAAGGGUAUGACUGUGUAUCAGUACAUUUUUAUUAACAGAACCAGGCUUUGAGGCCAGAUUUAACUGGCAAAUUUUAACUUAUUGAGCUUUGGUCUCAGCCAAUCAAAGGUGACCCAACUCUAGCCAAUGAGAAGAGCUUCCUUAGGGAGUUGUGGGGUGUUUGUUCCCUCUUAAAAAAGAAGCAGGUGCUGGAGAGAUGGCUCAGGGGUUAAGAGCCCCAGUUGCUCUUACAAAGGACUCAGGUUUGGUUCCCAGCAUGCUCACAACUCUGGUUUCAGAGGAUCUAAUGCCAUCUUCUGGACUCUGUGGGUAUUGCACACACAUGGUGCACAACCUCAUGUGAGUAUACACAUACACAAAAAAAAUCAACACUUCUAAAGAGAGAAAAACAGGACAUGGGGAGUUGGCACAGAGGGUUAAGUGCCUGCCAUACCAGUCUGCAGACCUGAGUUUAACCCUCAGAACCUACAUAAAAAGGCAGGCCUGGUACACACACUUCCUCUCUCAGCACUGACAGGAGAAAAUGGUCCCUGAGGCUCCUAACCAGCUAUAUGAGUGAUCUCCAGGCCAAUGACAAAGCCUAUCUCAAAGGAGGCAAAAAGGUCAUGAGGACAGCAUCUGAGGCUGUCAUCUGACCUCUACACACCUCCAUACAAACAGGUGUGCAUAUACGCAUGUAUCAUGUGUGUGUGUGUGUGUGUGCGUGCGUGCGUGCGUGCGUGCGUGUGUGAAAUAUGGGUCAUAGUGUGCUUGCCUAGCAUGCACAAGGUUUGAGUCCCAGCCGCCAGUGAUAAUAUAAGAAGAAAUUUGAGGAAGCGGCUCUCCUAUAUUGGGCUAGACUUUGUCCUGUAGAAAUGAGUUGACCAGAUGAAAGACCCUGGUCCCAAACCCACGGCUCAUCUGUGCUCCCGACCUCUCCAGUGUGGGCUUCUUAUCAGAGGAGUGAAGAUGCUUGAUGGGUCAGCGAGAUGGAUCAGCAGGUAAAGUUGCUUGCCACCAAACCUGAUGACCUGAGUUCGAUUCCUAGGACCCAUAUAGUAGAAAGAAAAAACUGACACCUACAAUUGUAUACAACACACACACACACACACACACACACACACACACACACGCAUGCUCGCACGCACUAAACAAAUGUUGUACAAACAAUUAAACUUGUUUAAAUUGUUUUUUUCUCACUUGUUAAUGUAAUCUGUUCCUUGUGCCCUAGGCCCUGUGCUGAGCACCCCACACCCCAGCUACCUUAGGAACACAAUGAUUUAGAGAUCAGCUUCUUACCCUGAGUCUCAGGGGUCUCUGGUCAAACCGCUAGCACUUUACGGGCAGAAACAAGGUCAAGCACACUGGUCAGACAGGUUGGUUGUGAACUUCAAAGCAGGUAGCCUUAGAAAAGACCUGGCCCAGGCUGUGCCUUGCAUCUCUCCUGUCCCCCUAAUACCAAGAUGUCACCUCCUUCUGCAACGCUCUUAGGUGGCUGGAGUUAUUCUGAUCUCACAUUCAGGCUGCCAAAGGUUUGCACGCAUCACAUGCACGUGCGCAUGCGCAUGGUCAUCUGUUCUGGGGACUGGGGCAAUCGACUCUCUCCCUUUUGGCUGAGAGCUCAAGUGUCGAUCUUCCAAGGCUCCAAGAAGCUGACACUACUAGCCCACUAGCCCGGUGCAGGAUCUAAAGCCCAGAGGGGUUGAGUAAGUCUUUUUUCUUUCCUUCCCCAAAUCCCAGCCUCAUGAUGCUAGGCAAACCAUUCAGCUUCCUUUCCACCUCUGCCAUGAGUCUGUGUGAGCGUCAGGAGUCAGAUACUCUGAUGCUCUGCCAGUUGAGCACCUCACACACCAGCUGGUGUCUGUGGUUAGGCGAGGGGUCAGGGCCUUGACCUGGUUUUGCCCUGCUAGUCUAUGUUUGGCCGGGUAUCCAUGGGGACCCCCAGAUGAC
RNAcentral lists this long non-coding RNA (2414 nucleotides) under Rattus norvegicus (Norway rat). Its description in RNAcentral is "long non-coding RNA NONRATT031825". Lineage: Eukaryota; Metazoa; Chordata; Mammalia; Rodentia; Muridae. The record is from RNAcentral.